This 497-nucleotide ribosomal RNA is filed under the name uncultured bacterium. RNAcentral describes it as "partial 16S ribosomal RNA". It matches the Rfam family "Bacterial small subunit ribosomal RNA", at positions 28 to 507 of the family's 1533-position model. The record is from RNAcentral.
GAUGAACGCUGGCGGCGUGCCUAAUACAUGCAAGUAGAACGCUGAAGGCAGGAGCUUGCUCUUUCCGGAUGAGUUGCGAACGGGUGAGUAACGCGUAGGUAACCUGCCUGGUAGCGGGGGAUAACUAUUGGAAACGAUAGCUAAUACCGCAUAACAGUAGAUGUUGCAUGAUAUCUACUUAAAAGGUGCAAUUGCACCACUACCAGAUGGACCUGCGUUGUAUUAGCUAGUUGGUGAGUUAACGGAUCACCAAGGCGACGGUACAUAGCCGACCUGAGAGGGUGGACGGCCAACCUGGGAAUGGGACACGGCCCAGAGUCCUGAGGGAGGCAGCAGUAGGGAAUCGUCGGCAAUGGACGGAAGGCUGACCGAGCAACGCCGCGUGAGUGAAGGAGGUUGUCGGAUCGUAAAGCUCUGUUGUAAGAGAAGAACGAGUGUGAGAGUGGAAAGUUCACACUGUGACGGUAUCUUACCAGAAAGGGACGGCUAACUACGUG